Non-coding RNA from Callithrix jacchus (white-tufted-ear marmoset), 1363 nucleotides. Lineage: Eukaryota; Metazoa; Chordata; Mammalia; Primates; Cebidae. The record is from RefSeq and is a predicted model, not a curated record.
GCUGAGAGAGAUGACAUGGCAGCCUGCACGAAGUCUAUAACUAAGCAAGUAGCUGCAUUAUCCAAUGAAGAGAGGAAUCUCUUCCCAGUUGCUUAUAAAAAUGUUGUAGGAGCCCGUAGGUCAUCUUGGAGGGUCGUCUCAAGUAUUGAACAAAAGACAGAAAGUUCUGAGAAAAAAACAGCAGAUGGCUUGAGAAUACAGAGAGAAAAUUGGAAAGGAACUAAGAGAUACCUGCAAUGAUGUACUGUCUCUUUUGGAAAAGUUCUUGAUACCCAAUGCUUCACAAGCAGAGAGCAAAGUCUUCUAUUUGAAAAUGGAAGGAGAAUACCACUAUUACUUGGCUGAGGUUGCCGCUGGUGAAGACAAGAAAGGGAUUGUGGAUGAGUCACAACAAGCAUACCAAGAAGCUUUUGAAAUCAGCAAAAAGCAAAUGCAAUCAACAAAUCCUAUCAGACUGGGUCUGGCCCUUAACUUCUCUAGUUCUAUUUUGAGAUUCUGAACUCCCCAGAGAAAGCCUGCUCUCUUGCAAAGACAGCUUUUGAUGAAGCUAUUGCUGAACUUGAUACAUUAAGUGAGGAGUCAUACAAAGACAGCACGCUAAUAAUGCAAUUACUGAGAGACAACUUGACAUUGUGGACAUCGGAUACCCAAGGAGAGGAAGCUGAAGCAGGAGAAGGAGGGGGAAAUUAACUGGUCUUCAAACUUUUAUCUGCCUCAUUCUAAAAUUUACACAGACCAUUUGUCAUCCAUGCUGUCCCACAAAUAGUAUUUUAUUUACAAUUUAUGACAGGUUUAUGUUACUUCUAUUUGAAUUUCUAUAUUUCCCAUGUGGUUUUUAUGUUUAAUAUUAGGGGAGUAGAGCCAGUUAACAUUUAGGGAGUUACCUGUUCUCAUCUUGAGGUGGCCAAUAUGGAAUUUUUAUAUAAGUUAUAAAUGUUUGGCAUAGUACUUUUGGUAUACUGUGGCUUCACAAGGGCCAGUGUUAAAACUGCUUCCAUGUCUAAGCAAAGAAAACUGCCUACAUAAUGUUUUGUGCUGGUGGGGAAUAAAAGGGAUCAUUGGUUCCAGUCACAGGUGUAGUAAUUGUGAGUAUUUUAAAGUUUGGAGCACUUACAAGGCUGUGGUAGAAACAGAUAUCCCAUGGAUACCACAUGUUAAACCAUGUAUGUCUGUGGAAUACUCAAUGUCAGUGUGCACACAUUUGACUACAGCUGCAGAAGUGUUCCUUUAGACAAAGUUGUGACCCAUUUUACUCUGGAUAAGGGCAGAAAUAAUUCACAUUCCAAGUUACCUGCUGUUAGCUUUCAUUAUUUUUGCUGCACUCAUUUUAUUUGUAUUUAGAUGUUUUAGGCAACCUAAAAAC